GUAUGUAUGUGUGUGUGUGUGUGUGUGUGUGUGUGUGUAUAUAUAAAAUGUUUCUUUGAUCUGAUAACUGAGAUAGCUACAAAGUGACUAAUGGGUGUAUUAUAUAGACAGCAUUGGAACACUUCACAAAGGGAUGAUUCAUGUCCCAGGCAGGAUGGAGCAGGUUGAUGUGAAAUUCAUCAUGCUGCUCAGAACAACAUUCAAUUUAAAACUUAUAAAUUGUUCACUUCUGGAAUUUUCUAUUUCAUGUUUCUGGACUUUGGUUGACUGCUGGUAACUGAAACCACAGAAAGCGAAACCAUGGACAAGGGAAGACCAGUCAUCCAAUAUCUUUUCCACUGCUAAAAUCAAUCAAUCAAUCAAUCAAUCAGGGCCUUUGCAGUGAUCUCUGAAAACAAAGUGCUAAUUGUUCCAAGACUGCUUGGCCAAAGGCAAUACGUCAAUGUUAAUUAUCCAUUUUAAAGGCCUCAUUCCCCAUUCCCAGUUGAGUCAGCUAACAGGGAACAUCUCUACUACUUUCUACUUUCUCUGUGCUUAUUAAUGAUGUCAAAGGUCACUUAGAAGCUGUCCUUUCCGAGACCUGCACAUACAGAGAGCAGGUCCAACCAUUGAGAGUGUUCCAGGCAUGUCUGCUGGCCUAGUGGAAGUGCUCGUGAUUCUCUUAACAGUGGGAUGGCAAGCAAAACUUAUGGCCAGUGAUUGUUAGCUGUUAUUUUGCUCAUUCCCUGAAAACACUGCAAAUGCAUAACAAAUCAAUGGGGUUGCUGAACAUUUGCUGGAUUUAUCUUGCUUCCAGUUGGCAUCUUUAUUUAGAAAGACGUAUGCCAACCUUCUUAUUCUUUGUUCUGCCACAAAUAUCUUACAGUGUUUACGCUUUCUUGUCUAAUGCUUUCACUGGAUUUAGGGAGGUGUCAUUUAUUUAGUGGAAAUGCUAAUAAUUAUCUUGGAUGAUGUAGAUUCAUGAGGUGUUAAAAUUUCUCUUUAAUCUGUUAGCAUCAGUCUCUCCGAUCUUGAUGUCAGCUUCAGUGGGUGGUAUUCAAGGAAUAAGUAUAUAGAAAUUUCUUCUCCCUCUCUCUUUCUUUCUUUUAACAUACCCACAUGCAUGCACACGUCAUGCAUGCAGACUAACAUAAGCAUGGGUGUAUUCUUGGUGACCGAUGGUUAUACCAGAAACUAUGCAAGCCUCUUUUGGCACCAGGUGACAAACGAAACAAUUGAGAAUGUGUCAGAGAAAGGGAUGUUGCUGUCUGUAUCUGUUAGGGUCUAGGCUGAAAAGAGGUGGCAUUCUCAAGCAGUAAUUUUUAAAAAUUUGAUUAAGUGCUUUCAACAAAUACACGGGCUUGAUUUUGAAAAAUUAGCACAGGAGAGUGGAGCACCCUUGGGCUAUCAGCUCCAGCCCGAAGAGUCAACAGGAGGGAGUAGCUACCAUCACCUGGUACCCCAAUGACGGUGGCUGUUUGGAGAAGACUGUCAGACAGGGCUUGUGGCCUCCAGGAGUGGGAAUUGCCAGCCUGCAGCAACCCAGCAGUGAAAAACUCAGCUCCAGCCAUUGGAGUUUCUCAGAGCAACUCCCCAUGGCCACAGCUGACUGGAGCCAGAAGAUGGAGGUGAUUGGGUCAUGAGGGCUCUGCCCUCAUGAAUGGUUAAUCUUUGGAGUGGUUAGUCAAGAGUGGUUGUUAUCAAGUGAGUCUGGCCUGGUUCUCUUUUGCAAGUGCUCAGUUGCCCAUCCACCCUUCCACCAUGGGAUACCAUGGGAUAAUGCAGCAAGAAGGCCCUCAGUAGAAAUGGGUUUUUACCAUGUUAGCCAGAUGGUCUCGAUCUCCUGACCUCGUGAUCCGCCCACCUCGGCCUCCCAAAGUGCUGGGAUUACAGGCAUGAGCCACCACGCCUGGCUCAGAGGAAGCUCUUUAAUGAAGAAGUAACAUACUGUCUUAAAAGAGUGAUGUAAGGGGGUCUUAUAGUACCUUUAUGGAUGACAGCAGUGUCUGGGACUAAGGUCACAGAAGUGAAGAUCUGAGCCCACGUUCAACAAUCUUAUAAAUUACAAAGGAAUGUUUAGACACAAAAUCUAGACAGUGAAAACAGAGAUGCUGCAGUAGCAGGCCUAGAAGAGAAGGAGGAAUUUGCAGUCCUUUUUCAAAUCACCUUUUCAUAAAUGAAAACAAACUCAUACAACAACAAAAUAGGGCAUGCAUUCUGAUUCAGGAUGCUGUUUUAAAGUUCUGUUCAGCAGUUUACAUGGACUUUGAUAUCAUAACACUCUGAUUCAAGUGCUAAAUAUAAAUAGGGUAAAUAUUUCUUGGCUUCCAGUGGGGUAAUGGUAAACCCAAAUUAGAGGCAGCACCACGGUAAAGAGCUAUGUUGGAUGAAAUCCUGAACCACAUUUGUGGGAAGGACACAGGGCUGGCCCAGUGAAGUCACUCUUCCAGUGAAACAGCAGAGCUAACAUCAUCCUUCCAGGAAUCCUGCAAAAGAAGCCACCUGGGAUGCAGUAAGAUGACAGUAGCUUUCUGGAGCUAAGAUGACAGACAGUUUUUUCUUUGGCCACAGGUUCUGAUUACAAAUCAGCAAGCAAAUGUGUUCACACAGAUGAAAUAAGGGUAUAGAAAAGGAUGAUGAUUUGUCCCAUUUAUUCCAGCCCUUUUUACUGGCUUUUACAGUCCUUUUUACGUGGCUUUCAUUCAUUCUUCUUUCUGCCCAUGAAGCUUAUCCUAGAGAGAAUUUCUGAGAAUAAAUGAAGCAUAGUGAAGCUUCUAGAAAAUAGUGUAAAAUGCUAACAUUGUUAUUAUUGUCAAGUCAUGUUUAUCAAUAUGUGGAUCAUUGAUGAUAACUGAACUAUUCAAGAAAAGUUGUUAACUAAAUGGCUGUAUGACUUUUGGUGGGAGAUUGUAUCGUAGCUCAGGAAAAAUUUAUUCCCCUUGCGGUACCCGCACCCCCACGCCCAGGAGGAAUGUACAUCCUUGUCCCAGAAGCAAUGGGCUGGGUGACUUGCUUUGGCUUGUUGGAAUGUGAGUGGAUGUGGAUUUGCCUGUCCAAGCUAAGAGCCAAACACACAUGGUGCAUUGGGCUCACUCUGUGUGCUCUUAUCGCAUCAGAGCCAUGCGUCCCAGAGAGUGGUUGUGCCUUCUGCCUGGAAAUGCAGGAGAAUCAGAUCUCUGCCCUUCCCACCUGCGGACUUCAGUAGAACUGCCACGGCCCACCUGCAAACUCAAGAGUGAGAAAUAAAGAAAUGCUGGCAAUUUCACACCUCACUGACAGGUGAGUCCCCACGCACAAAGGAACUUCAGUAAGCCUAAUGGCUGACUACUCAUAAUUGUGGAGGUGAGCUGGCAUACUCAAAGUGUGGAAAGAAAGAAAAAUCUGUCAAUGGCGAAUUCUACAUCCAGCAAAUCCAUCCUUCAAAGGAGAAAUUAAGACAUGCUAUAAUUUUAAAAAGAAAAGGUGAGCUGAGAGAAUUUGUCACUAGCUGACCUUCUCCCAAGAAAUGCUAAAGGGAACACGUCAUGUUGAAAUGGAAGGAAAUUAGGUAGUAACUCAAAUCCACACUAACAAAUAAAAGGCCCUGUUAAUGUGACAACAUAGGUAAAAGUAAAAAACAGUAUAAAGGUACUUUUGGUUCAUAACUUCUUUCUUUUUUCCUUUUUUUUUUUUAGAUGGAAUCUUACUCUGUUACCCAGGCUGGAGUGCAGUGGUGUGAUCUUGGCUCACUGCAACCUCUGCCUCCUGGGUUCAAGCGAUUCUUCUGGCCUCAGCCUCCUGAGUAGCUGGGAUUACAGGCACACACCAGUGUGCCCAGGUAGUUUUUGUAUUUUUAGUAGAGACAGGGUUUCGCCAUGUUAGCCAGGCUGGCCUUGAACUCCUGGCCUCAGGUGAUCCACCCGCCUUGGCCCCCGAAAGUGCUGGGAUUAUAGGCAUAAGCCACCGCACCCAGCCAUUUCUUUCUUUUUUUCUGUCUGAUUUAAAAGACCACUACAUAAAACAGUAAUUCUAAAUCUUGAGUGAUGGGCACACAAUGUAUAAAGAUGUAAUCUGUAACAAUAGCAGCAUGAAGGUGGGAGGGAGGAUCAAAGAUCAUAGAAGCAAAGUUUUUGUAUACCUGUGAAAUUAAUUUGGCGUUAACUCAAACUAGACUGUCAUAAACUAAGAUGUUUCUUAACGGGAGAAGCAGGGAGGAAAGAGCACCAGAGAUUCUGGUCUACAUGGUCUGUGCUGAGGUCUCAGUUGUAUUCAUUUCCUGUUGCCACUGUAACAAAUUACCAUAAACUUAGUGGUUUAAAAUAACAGAUUUAUGAUCUUGCAGUUCUGAAGGUCAGAAGUUCAAAAUUAGUUUCAGUGGACUAAAAUCAAAGUGUUGGCAGGCUGCAUUACUUCUGAAGGAUCUAGAGGAGAAUCAAUGUCUUUGCUUUUCUCAGUUUUUAGAGGUCAUCUACAUUCCUUGACUCAGACCUCACAUGACUCUGAUCUCUGCUUCCAUCUUCACAUUUUCUCUGGCUCUUAACUGCCUGCCUCCCUCUUAUAAGCAAUCCUUGUGAUUUUAUUUAGUACCCACCAGGUGAUCAGGAUAACCUCCCCAUCACAAGAUCCUUAACCAAAUCACAUCUGCAAAGUUCUUUUUACCAUGUAAUUGUCUUAAUCCAUUUGGGCUGUUAAAACAAACGAUCAUAAGCUGGGUGCUUACAAAAAACAAACUUUCAGCCAGGCGCGGUGGCUCAUGCCUGUAAUCCCAGCACUUUGGGAGGCCAAGGUGGGUGGAUCAUUUGAGGCCAGGAUUUCGAGACCAGCCUGGCCAUCAUGGCGAAACCCCGUCUCUACUAAAAAUACAAAAAUUUGCCAGGCAUGGUGGCACGGGCCUGUAGUCCCAGCUACUCAGGAGACUGAGGCAUGAGAAUUGCCUGAACCUGGGGUGGGGGCGGGGAAAGGGGGUAGUGGGGAGGGAUGUGGGCGGAGGUUGCAGUAGGCUGAGAUGGCUCUACUGCUUUCCAGCCUGGGCGACAGAGCGAGACUUUGUCUUACACACACACACACACACACACACACACACACACACACACACACAAUUAUUUCUCACAGUUCUUGAAGCUAGGAAGUCCAAAAUCAAGGUACCUGGAGGUUUGGUGUCUGCUCAGGACCCACUUCCUGGUUCACAGACUGUGCUUUCUUCCUGCACCUUCACAUGGUGGAAGGAGCAAGGCAGCUCUCUGGGGCCUCUCUGACAAUGGUACACAUCCCAUUCAUGAGGGAAGAGUCUG
Molecule: long non-coding RNA, 5249 nt
Filed under: Homo sapiens (human)
Lineage: Eukaryota; Metazoa; Chordata; Mammalia; Primates; Hominidae
Description: non-protein coding lnc-DIRAS2-14:1
Source: RNAcentral